Molecule: transfer RNA, 75 nt
Filed under: Candidatus Cloacimonadota bacterium
Lineage: Bacteria; Pseudomonadati; Candidatus Cloacimonadota
Also listed under: 1 other name
Description: Candidatus Cloacimonetes bacterium tRNA-Glu
Rfam family: tRNA
About the family: Transfer RNA (tRNA) molecules are approximately 80 nucleotides in length. Their secondary structure includes four short double-helical elements and three loops (D, anti-codon, and T loops).
Source: RNAcentral
GACCCCAUAGUCUAGUGGUGAGGACUCGAGGUUUUCAUCCUCGCAGCAGGGGUUCAAUUCCCCUUGGGGUCGCCA